Molecule: non-coding RNA, 136 nt
Organism: Xylaria intraflava
Lineage: Eukaryota; Fungi; Ascomycota; Sordariomycetes; Xylariales; Xylariaceae
Source: the annotation of a GenBank genome assembly
UCCUCGGUGGCGCAAUUGGCUAGCGCGUCGUAAGUUCUCAAUUGUUCGAAGAAGACGGAUUAGUGAUAUUGGUGUCUAACGAGAUUCGCAGUGACUGUUAAUCAGGAGGUUGAAAGUUCGAGCCUUUCCCGGGGAG